RNAcentral lists this unclassified non-coding RNA (302 nucleotides) under uncultured fungus. RNAcentral describes it as "partial contains small subunit ribosomal RNA, internal transcribed spacer 1, and 5.8S ribosomal RNA". The stretch from base 1 to 73 matches the Rfam family "Eukaryotic small subunit ribosomal RNA", at positions 1759 to 1831 of the family's 1831-position model. The record is from RNAcentral. Lineage: Eukaryota; Fungi.
ACAAACUUGGUCAUUUAGAGGAAGUAAAAGUCGUAACAAGGUUUCCGUAGGUGAACCUGCGGAAGGAUCAUUACAGAGUUAUGCCCCUUAAAUUGGGGUGGACCUCCUCUAACCCUAUGUUUUAUUUGAAUUCUGUUGCUUUGGCGGGUCGUAAGGUUUUCCAUUGGCUUCGGCUAGUGCGUUUACCCGUCAGAAGAAACCAAAAAACUCUGAACAUUAUCUGUUGUCUGGGUUACUAUUUACAAUAAUUAAAAACUUUCAACAACGGAUCUCUUGGUUCUGGCAUCGAUGAAGAACGCAGC